AAAGUCGUAACAAGGUUUCCGUAGGUGAACCUGCGGAAGGAUCAUUAUUGUAGGGACUCCGGUCCCCUCAAGAUGCAACCCGUGCCUUUUUGGUAGCCCGUAACGUUUCCUCGGCAGCCCCGCUGCCAGCGAGGACCCCCCCAAACCAAGCCUGCAAUCUCAGUAAAAAAUUCAGAAACCCCCCAAAAUUCAAAA
Molecule: unclassified non-coding RNA, 195 nt
Filed under: plant metagenome
Description: partial contains small subunit ribosomal RNA and internal transcribed spacer 1
Rfam family: Eukaryotic small subunit ribosomal RNA (bases 1-47)
Source: RNAcentral